Bacteroides intestinalis CAG:315 is the source of this 95-nucleotide non-coding RNA. The record is from Rfam. Lineage: Bacteria; Pseudomonadati; Bacteroidota; Bacteroidia; Bacteroidales; Bacteroidaceae.
CGAUAGAAAAGGGGGUGCUAUAAAUAUAGCUGAGAUUAUACCCAAUGAACCUGAUACGGUUAGUACCGUCGAAGGGAAUUUUUCUUCUUAUCUUC